AAGCGGUAAUGAAAACAAAAACAAAGUUAUUUGACUGAAUAUGCAUUUUAUUGAUUGAAAAAGUGUGGCUCAAAUCGAGCAAUACAAAGGAAGCAAUUCCUGAAAAGAGGUAAUUGCACACAAAAGGAAAAAUCUAUCCUAAUGGCAAUGUGAAACUCGUGAUCUCAUCGAGUUCCAACUCGGUUACACCCCAUAUGUCCUCAGACUCUCCGUGCUUUCUGCCUUC
Molecule: long non-coding RNA, 226 nt
Filed under: Lathyrus oleraceus (garden pea)
Lineage: Eukaryota; Viridiplantae; Streptophyta; Magnoliopsida; Fabales; Fabaceae
Description: Pisum sativum (pea) long non-coding RNA (PSAT_LNC008120)
Source: RNAcentral